RNAcentral lists this ribosomal RNA (253 nucleotides) under uncultured bacterium. RNAcentral describes it as "partial 16S ribosomal RNA". It matches the Rfam family "Bacterial small subunit ribosomal RNA", at positions 524 to 776 of the family's 1533-position model. The record is from RNAcentral.
UACGUAGGUCCCGAGCGUUGUCCGGAAUUACUGGGUGUAAAGGGUGCGCAGGCGGCCUUGUGCGUCAGAAGUGAAAUAUCACGGCUUAACCGUGAGGGUGCUUUUGAAACGGCGAGGCUUGAGUACGGGAGAGGAUGAUGGAAUUCCUGGUGUAGCAGUGAAAUGCGUAGAUAUUAGGAAGAACACCAGUGGCGAAGGCGGCUCACUGGUCCGGUACUGACGCUGAGGUGCGAAAGCGUGGGGAGCAAACAGG